UUUGCUUUCUCCGCCAGCCGCCUGCUCUGCAGCACGCCGCCGCCUCUCCCGCCACGACGUCGCCCGGCGCCCCCUCCCCCACAACCCACACCACCACCACGGCCUCGCCCCUUCUCGUCCUAUCCCCACGACGGUCUCGCCCCGCCGUCCCUUAUCCCCACGACGGCCUCGCCCUGCCAGCUCCUGUCACCACUGCGGCCUUGCCUCGCCGCCAACCCCGCCAAUCUUCCCUAGAUCGACUCUGCUGCCGCCAUCCUACUGCCCCAGAGCUGAUCGAGAUGCGAGCUGCUAGACACUAUGUGGGAGGAGGAAUCUCGAAUUGGAUGGAGAUCCAGUGUGUUGACGUGCCUACUGUAAUCAUCGUCCCCCCCCGUGAUUGGCUCACACAGUUGCUGCGGGGAGGAGUUCACAGCUCGCGUACGUGCUCGGUUGCUGAAGGCACCUUCAUCACAUUGUCAUUCAUUUGUGAGAUGUUUCUCUUUCUCUAUGUUGGCAUGGAUGAUAUAUAGAGUAGUGGAAGAUUGUUAGUGAAACACAUUCAGCCCAAUGAAAUGUAUCACCUUGAGCUCCAUUAUUUAGGCCAUAUCUCAUGAGAGAUGCUGUGUCAAUUGCAUUGGCAUCCAAUAAGGCUUGAAGUGGUGGUCGUAACACAGUCGGUUGGGAGGACUCAAUGUCAGAGUCGAUAUUAUGGACAUUUUCCUUGUCAGAACCGGCACUAUCUGGUGUUCUUAAUGAAUUUGGAGCAUGAAGUGGAGUUUGAUCACUCAUUAUCAUAUCAACAGGUAUGGCUGCAUCAUAACUGUAUGUACAAUGUCAGUUGGUGACACACGAACUAAGGUAUUAUGUUUGACAAGAGAACACAUGACCUUCCGCAGCUGGGGUGUGUCGUUGCUGGGUGACAGCAGACUACGCACUGGGCCUGUCCACAGCGUCAAAACCUGUCGAAAAGAACACUUAAUUAACAUGACUUUACUUGUGAUUCAUGGAAUGUAUGAUAAAGAACAUAGAAAAUGGAGUAACCAGGCGACAUGGCCACGGGUGGCUUAGAUGGAGUGUUGGUUCCAUUUAGAAUAGCAGACGUAGCUUUCUUAGAUCCCUUGCCUCCCGUCUUAUUUUCUUAGUAUUGCAUCCCUGUUUACCUCUCCCUUUCCCUCUGUCUCUUUAGUUCUUUUGAAUCUGUUUUUUGACCUGCGAGGCAAUGACAUAUUCUGGAUUUACAAGAUUGAAGUAGGGAGUACGUGCCCCACUAUGCUCAAAGGAUGCCAUAUUGUCAACUCAGUUUGUCAUGCAGAUCAUGAUGUAUUGUCAGAAAGUAGUCAUAUGUCCUCAGAUGCUGCGGGCCACAAGGGGUGAUGACACCGGAGGUAGUGCAACACGCCGAGUCGAGGACGUCCACCGGGUGGAGGACGUCGCGGCUAACAGGGGCGACGGCGGUGUGGCGACGACGGCGGGGCGAGGAGAGGUAGGGCAACAAGGUGGGUCGAGGAAGGACGUGCACCGGGGUGGAGGACAUCGCAGCCACCAGGGGCUAGGGCUGCGUGGCGACGGCGGCGGGGCGAGGAGAGGUAGGGCAGCAAGGCGGGUCAAGGAUGUCCACCGGGUCGAGGACGUCGCAGACACCAGCGCUGAUCGCGGCUGUUUGUGGCGUGGUGGCGGCGUAGAUCAUGGAGGUGUUGUUUAAUUCCCAGUAGGUGUCAUCGUGGGUCUAGGAGGUGUGAUCGUGGGGCUGUGUAGCAUCCUGAACGGGGGAGUCUGCCGGCAGAAAUUUGUUGUGAACCGUCGAUCUGAUUGUAGUAUGGUUGAUCUAACGUGGACAGUUGGAUGGUACCAAGUAGAUCUGACCGGACGUGGGGGAGUAUCCCGUGUGCACUUUCUGGUGUGGAUGUAGGGGAAGUCAUGUUUGGUCUUUUAAUAGUAGUAUAGAUAUAGAUAUAGAUAUA
Molecule: RNA transcript, 1940 nt
Organism: Triticum dicoccoides
Lineage: Eukaryota; Viridiplantae; Streptophyta; Magnoliopsida; Poales; Poaceae
Exons: 6
Source: RefSeq, a predicted model, not a curated record